UUGUCUCGUUCUUUGAAACCGUCUACACUCAACAUAAUAUUACACUGUACACAGCAAGUACAUAGCAAGUCUGAAUAGUUAGAAUCUAUUUUGUUAAUUGUUUUUCUAGUCGUUAAAUAAAAUUUCAUUGGCAGUCGUUAAUACCGUUUGUUCGGAAACUAGAAAGACACGUAAUAAAACGUUUAACUAAAUUUAAAAUAAAAGCGGAUACCCAAAGAAUGUUUGACCACAAAACCCAAAACUCUGAACUUCACAAUUGCCAUUUUUCAGGAAUAACACCUGGAAGAAUUUGGGAAUUAAAACUGAAACAGUCGAGAGUCGGAUAUAUCUUAGACGGAAAAUGUAUGUCAGCCGUUGGAAUCACAAAUUUUGAAUAGUUUAGUGAAAAAUUUGAAAUUAAAUUACUCAAAAAAUGAUGAACUAGAAAUGUGCUCAGAAGAGAACUGUGGAAAAUACAUAUAGUUUUGGUGAAAAUGUUUUCAAGGAUGCUGAAAUAACAAUCGAAGAAAAAAAUGAAACUAUCGAUUGCAACUAUGUAACAAAGAUAAAAAUCAAAGAAAAAGAUGAGCCAUUUAAUACACAAUUUUGCGAUGACUUUGUGAAAGAUAAAACCAAAAUACUUUAAAGAAACUUAAGUAGUUUGACAGAAUAGAAUGUACCCAGAAACAAGAAUAGAUGAAAAUACAUACAAUGUUGAGAUGACGAGCAAUAGACUGAAUAUUAAAACUAAAAGAAAUAGGAGUUACAUAUUUUCACUCGAAAAGAAACAGACAGAUGAUGAUCGACAAUGAAAAAAUGGCAAAUAAAAAAAAGGGUUGUUCCACUGCAACGUGUGUCAUUUUGUAAAACCGCAGGCUAAUACUUAAAAAAAGGAGAACAAUUGCUCUGAAAACCCAUUGUCAAAAUUCUUGAAACUACUGCCAACAAACAUGAUCUAAAGGAAUAAGGCUGCCACAAAUGUGAUGUCUAUUUAAAGUCUUUAGUAAACUUAUGUUUGCGUUCAAGAUCCGCUUGCAGUUUACGAUUUUAUAAAUUUAUUAUAUUGUUAAUGUAAAUUGGAAUUUUUAUUUACAAUAAAAUAUUCUACUUGUGUGUUUAUAAUAUUACACAUAAUGUAAUUAUA
Adelges cooleyi (spruce gall adelgid) is the source of this 1123-nucleotide long non-coding RNA. RefSeq lists it as uncharacterized. Lineage: Eukaryota; Metazoa; Arthropoda; Insecta; Hemiptera; Adelgidae. The record is from RefSeq and is a predicted model, not a curated record. The transcript has 5 exons.